RNAcentral lists this ribosomal RNA (494 nucleotides) under uncultured bacterium. Its description in RNAcentral is "partial 16S ribosomal RNA". It matches the Rfam family "Bacterial small subunit ribosomal RNA", at positions 28 to 507 of the family's 1533-position model. The record is from RNAcentral.
GACGAACGCUGGCGGCGUGCUUAACACAUGCAAGUCGAACGGUGAAGCGCCUUCCUUUUUGGUGGGUGUGGAUGAGUGGCGAACGGGUGAGUAACACGUGAGUAACCUGCCCCCUUCUUCUGGAUAACCGCAUGAAAGUGUGGCUAAUACGGGAUAUUCUGGGUCUGUCGCAUGAUGGGUCUGGGAAAGAUAUUGUUUCGGUGGGGGAUGGGCUCGCGGCCUAUCAGCUUGUUGGUGGGGUGAUGGCCUACCAAGGCGGUGACGGGUAGCCGGCCUGAGAGGGUGGACGGUCACACUGGGACUGAGACACGGCCCAGACUCCUACGGGAGGCAGCAGUGGGGAAUAUUGCACAAUGGGCGCAAGCCUGAUGCAGCGACGCCGCGUGAGGGAUGGAGGCCUUCGGGUUGUGAACCUCCUUCGCCAGUGAAGCAGGCCUGCCUCGUUUGUGGGUGGGUUGACAGUAGCUGGAUAAGAAGCGCCGGCUAACUACGUG